Molecule: microRNA precursor, 97 nt
Filed under: Pteropus alecto (black flying fox)
Lineage: Eukaryota; Metazoa; Chordata; Mammalia; Chiroptera; Pteropodidae
Also listed under: 1 other name
Description: mir-544 microRNA precursor family
Rfam family: mir-544 microRNA precursor family
Source: Rfam by way of RNAcentral
AUUGCCUAGGUAUUUGUUAAAAUGCAGAUUCUGAUUAAUUAGAUCUGGAAUGGGACCUGAGAUUCUGCAUUUCUAACAAGUUUCCAAGUGAUAACAA